AUCUCACAGUUAUCAGCAGAACAUAGAUGGCAAUAGAUUCACACGAGGACAGAAAAUUCACAGAACUAGCAUUAUUGUUCCUUCUGUCUUUACACAGGCAUAUUUAUUUGGCUAUUUUAUGAGACCUUC
Small nucleolar RNA from Carlito syrichta (Philippine tarsier), 129 nucleotides. Its record names the gene SNORA75. It matches the Rfam family "Small nucleolar RNA SNORA75". Rfam says of the family: U23 belongs to the H/ACA class of snoRNAs. snoRNAs bind a number of proteins (including dyskerin, Gar1p and Nop10p in the case of the H/ACA class) to form snoRNP complexes. This class are thought to guide the sites of modification of uridines to pseudouridines by forming direct base pairing interactions with substrate RNAs. NCBI's taxonomy places the organism in Eukaryota, Metazoa, Chordata, Mammalia, Primates, Tarsiidae. The record is from Ensembl.